RNAcentral lists this unclassified non-coding RNA (310 nucleotides) under air metagenome. RNAcentral's name for it is "partial contains small subunit ribosomal RNA, internal transcribed spacer 1, and 5.8S ribosomal RNA". The stretch from base 1 to 46 matches the Rfam family "Eukaryotic small subunit ribosomal RNA", at positions 1786 to 1831 of the family's 1831-position model. The record is from RNAcentral.
AAGUCGUAACAAGGUUUCCGUAGGUGAACCUGCGGAAGGAUCAUUAUUGAAAUAAACCUGAUGGGUUGCUGCUGGCUCUCUCGGGAGCAUGUGCACACUUGUCAUCUUUGUAUCUCCACCUGUGCACCUUUUGUAAAUCUGAAUAUCUUUCUGAAUGGCUUGCCAUUCGGGUUCGAGGAUUGAUCUUUUUCUUUCCUUACAUUUUCAGGUUUAUGUCUUUCAUAUACCCCAUGUAUGUUAUAGAAUGUAAUAAAAGGGCCUUUGUGCCUAUAAAUUUAUACAACUUUCAGCAACGGAUCUCUUGGCUCUC